GGGGGCUCUGUUGGUUCUCUGUGCUCUGUGCUCUGUUUACCAGGUCAGGUCCGAAAGGAAGCAGCCAAGGCAGAGACGCAGAGCAGGCAGAUGUAGCUGGCAGGGCCCCCACCC
RNAcentral lists this ribosomal RNA (114 nucleotides) under Escherichia coli. RNAcentral describes it as "4.5S RNA from Escherichia coli (PDB 2XKV, chain B)". The stretch from base 15 to 97 matches the Rfam family "Bacterial small signal recognition particle RNA". From Rfam's summary of the family: The signal recognition particle (SRP) is a universally conserved ribonucleoprotein involved in the co-translational targeting of proteins to membranes. Archaeal SRP consists of a 7S RNA and homologues of the eukaryotic SRP19 and SRP54 proteins. The record is from RNAcentral. Lineage: Bacteria; Pseudomonadati; Pseudomonadota; Gammaproteobacteria; Enterobacterales; Enterobacteriaceae.